ACCUACGGGGGGCAGCAGUGGGGAAUAUUGCGCAAUGGGCGAAAGCCUGACGCAGCAACGCCGCGUGGGGGAUGAAGGUUCUCGGAUUGUAAACCCCUUUCGACCGGAACGAAUCCCCUCCUGGUGAACAAUCAGGAGGGUCGACGGUACCGGGAGAAGAAGCCACGGCUAACUCUGUGCCAGCAGCCGCGGUAAGACAGAGGUGGCUAGCGUUGUUCGGAUUUAUUGGGCGUAAAGCGCACGCAGGCGGUUUGGUAAGUCAGAGGUGAAAUUCCGCAGCUUAACUGCGGAACUGCCUUUGAUACUGCCUUUCUCGAGUGCAUGAGGGGGAAGCGGAAUUCCGGGUGUAGAGGUGAAAUUCGUAGAUAUCCGGAGGAACACCGGUGGCGAAGGCGGCUUCCUGGCAUGUAACUGACGCUCAGGUGCGAAAGCGUGGGUAGCAAACAGGAUUAGAUACCCCGGUAGU
Molecule: ribosomal RNA, 466 nt
Filed under: uncultured bacterium
Lineage: Bacteria
Description: bacterial SSU rRNA
Rfam family: Bacterial small subunit ribosomal RNA
Source: RNAcentral